CCUUUGAAAAUAGCGUAGUAGGCUAGCCCCUUUGAAAAUGAUGUAGUGGGCCAAGAAGAGCCCAAUCUGGGGCUCCUAAGCAUAGCUACUGGGCCAGAAAAUGGCCCAGUCCAUGAGUUGAUGGGGGGAAUGCAUGGGUGAGCCAACUUCAUUUGAAUUUCAUGUUAAAUCAUGUCUAACAAUGUUAUUAUUUACUAAAUCUCUAUUUAAUUGGUAACAGUUCAAAUCUCAUAUGCAUAGAUCCUCUUUACUUGAACUAACUCAAGUCCAAGACGGUUUAGUGUGGGUGCUGAGUAGGGUUUAUGCACAUUGGAGUGAUUCAAAUUGAUGUCAUCUUGAAUUGACCAAGUUGAUGCAGGUAUAGGGCGAGCCGAUACUGUUCACUAGGUUGCUAGAGCAGAUCGAGUAGCUAGGGAGUUAGGCGGGGUCCUUGCAGCCUGCAUUAAUCUCCACUACUAGUUGAUAGACUCAAAUUUUUACUUACCUGAACUUUGUUAUUUGAGAUUGUAUAAGUCUUGUAUAGGCACUACAUUUGGAAUUUUGUAAUGAUCAGAAUGUUUUUAUUUAAUGCAUGGUUUAUUCUAGCU
Magnolia sinica is the source of this 587-nucleotide long non-coding RNA. RefSeq lists it as uncharacterized. NCBI's taxonomy places the organism in Eukaryota, Viridiplantae, Streptophyta, Magnoliopsida, Magnoliales, Magnoliaceae. The record is from RefSeq and is a predicted model, not a curated record. The transcript is spliced from 2 exons.